AGAGACUAGAGAAGGCAGCGGAGUAGAUCCAGAGAGAGGUCGGAGCUGGGAGUGCGGGAGAUGCAAGUUUAAAGAUUGAAUAAAUGUCACUACUGUCCCUACGGGUAUCAAGGCCCAGCUUGAACUCCUCAUCUGUACACAUUGGGAGAUCUGGCCUACAUUAGGCGAUAUGAGACUGCCACCGUGAGUCCUUACACCAUGAUCCUGACCAGACCAACUGUUCUGAAGGUGGAUAGAAUCAAGACCUGGGUCCAUGCUUCACAUGUAAAUGCUGACUUCCCUUUUGGAGACAGAGUGACACCAACCACUGACAUGUCCAGGCAACAGGAGACGACCCUACUCAAGAUAAGACUGAAGAAAGUGGCUGAAAGGAACCAUGGGAAGAGCACGGGUUAUUCUCUGUUACUGCAUGAUUGUAGUGACAACUGCAGAGUAAUCUCCUUACAUGCCCCAGUUUGGGCACUGGGUACUCUCUGAUACUGAAGCUAGUAGAAUUAGUCUUGAUCUGUGGCAGUUAUGACACACGCUAGGAUGUGUGUUUGUCAAUACUGAGCCUAUUGUCUUGAAUGUAACCCCUUGCUUGUCCCCUUCCUACUUUGCCAACUCCAGUUCCCCUGAAUUGUGUUUAAUGGUAAAGAUUGUGCUACAGGAAUAUCGUUAUAGGAAGAGAUCUGGGAAAGUCAACUUGUCAUCAUGAUCUCAUCCCCUCCUGAGACCCUUAGUACUUCUGUUUUUACUCCUGACUGUGGGCUUCUGUAUCCUGAAUAAGUUGGUGUCUUAUGUUAAAGGUAGAAUGAACAUGGUACAGUUGAUGGUUCUCAGGCAGGAUUAUCAGAAGCUCCCAAACCUGGGCAGCCUACAAUUGAGUGGUCAGAAUGAGGAAGAUUCCUCAUUAUGAAUAACUUAACGGGGUAAUGUUAGGACCCACUUAGCCAGAGAACUGCCAUGACAGGCUUUGUGGCCUUCUGAGUGACCUAGGUUUCUUCCAGGAUCAAGAAAAGCAGAAAGAUCAGAUGCUUUUGUCAAAGAUUACAUCCUCGGAAUAAGAUUAGAUCUCCAGAAUAUUACUGUCAGGGCGGUGGAUUGGAUAUUGCAGGCCAAAACAACAACAAUAAAAUAAACAUGUACUUUGUAGGUAAUAAAGAUUGCUGAGUAAUCCUGACUUGCCAAAAUGAAAGUAUAAGAAUUUGCUGAACCUAGUGUUCGGGGUCCUUGUUAAGCCCGCUGCAUCAGGCAGACACUUGGACCCUAGCUAGCUGGAACAAUAAACUUUGCUAGGUGAUUUGCA
Molecule: long non-coding RNA, 1288 nt
Organism: Sorex araneus (European shrew)
Lineage: Eukaryota; Metazoa; Chordata; Mammalia; Eulipotyphla; Soricidae
Exons: 2
Source: RefSeq, a predicted model, not a curated record